GGGGGGGGCUGGGGGGGGGCCUGGCGGGGGGGAGUCGGGCGGGAGCACGGGAGGGGCUGGCUGUUACGGGUGGGGAGUGGCGGGCGGGGGGGUAAUGCCUCGGAAUCUACUUUUUCGUGGGGGAUGACGUAGGGGAACUUACGCUCAUCCCGCAUACGCCCUCCUGGUGACAGACGGGGAUCUUCGGACCUUGCGCGAUUUAAUGAGCCGAUGUCGGAUUAGCGAGUUGGCGGGUGAAAGGCCCACCAAGGCGCCGAUCCGUAGCUGGUCUGAGUGGAUGAUCAGCCACACUGGAACUGAGACACGGUCCAGGCUCCUACGGGAGGCAGCAGUGGGGAAUAUUGGACAAUGGGCGCAAGCCUGAUCCAGCCAUACCGCGUGGGUGAAGAAGGCCUUCGGGUUGUAAAGCCCUUUUGUUGGGAAAGAAAAGCAGCAGGUUAAUACCCCGCUGUUCUGACGGUACCCAAAGAAUAAGCACCGGCUAACUUCGUG
This 492-nucleotide ribosomal RNA is filed under the name uncultured bacterium. RNAcentral's name for it is "partial 16S ribosomal RNA". It matches the Rfam family "Bacterial small subunit ribosomal RNA", at positions 35 to 507 of the family's 1533-position model. The record is from RNAcentral.